This 249-nucleotide ribosomal RNA is filed under the name uncultured bacterium. RNAcentral describes it as "partial 16S ribosomal RNA". It matches the Rfam family "Bacterial small subunit ribosomal RNA", at positions 118 to 351 of the family's 1533-position model. The record is from RNAcentral.
UGACCAACUUACCUUCGGGAGGGGGACAACCUGGGGAAACCCGGGCUAACACCGCAUAAAGUGCCUUGGCCGCAUGACCGGGGCAUGAAAGGGGGCCUCUGCUUGCAAGCUCCCGCCUGAAGAGGGGGUCGCGGCGUAUCAGCUAGUUGGUAGGGUAACGGCCUACCAAGGCUACGACGCGUAGCGGGUCUGAGAGGACGACCCGCCACAUUGGGACUGAGAUACGGCCCAGACUCCUACGGGAGGCAG